RNAcentral lists this ribosomal RNA (699 nucleotides) under uncultured bacterium. RNAcentral's name for it is "bacterial SSU rRNA". It matches the Rfam family "Bacterial small subunit ribosomal RNA", at positions 646 to 1344 of the family's 1533-position model. The record is from RNAcentral.
GUGUGGGAGAGGAAGAUGGAAUUAGUUGUGUAGGGGUAAAAUCCGUAGAGAUAACUAGGAAUACCAAAAGCGAAGGCAAUCUUCUGGAACACUACUGACGCUGAGGCGCGAAGGCGUGGGGAGCAAACAGGAUUAGAUACCCUGGUAGUCCGCGCAGUAAACGAUGAAUGUUAGUCGUCGGGUAGCUAGUCUAUUCGGUGAUGCAGCUAACGCAUUAAACAUUCCGCCUGGGGAGUACGGUCGCAAGAUUAAAACUCAAAGGAAUAGACGGGGACCCGCACAAGUGGUGGAGCAUGUGGUUUAAUUCGAAGAUACGCGAAGAACCUUACCUAGCCUUGACAUAUAUUAGAACAGACCAGAGAUGGACUGGUGCCUUCGGGAGCUUUUAUACAGGUGCUGCACGGCUGUCGUCAGCUCGUGUCGUGAGAUGUUGGGUUAAGUCCUGCAACGAGCGCAACCCUCGUGUUUAGUUACUAACAGAUUAUGCUGAGGACUCUAGACAUACUGCCUGGGCAACCAGGAGGAAGGUGAGGACGACGUCAAGUCAUCAUGGCCCUUACGGCCAGGGCUACACACGUGCUACAAUGGGGUAUACAAAGAGCAGCGAUACCGCGAGGUGGAGCAAAUCUCAUAAAAUAUCUCCCAGUUCGGAUUACACUCUGCAACUCGAGUGUAUGAAGUUGGAAUCGCUAGUAAUCG